RNAcentral lists this small RNA (275 nucleotides) under Pelobates cultripes (western spadefoot toad). Lineage: Eukaryota; Metazoa; Chordata; Amphibia; Anura; Pelobatidae. The record is from RNAcentral.
GGGGUAAGGGUAGGGUUAGGGGUAGGGUUAGGAGUAGGGUUAGGGAUAGCGUUAGGGCUAUAGUAGGGUUAGGGGUAGGGUUGAGUUAGGAGCAGGGGUAAGGUUAGGAGUAGGGGUAGGGUUAGGAGUAGGGUUACCCUACCCUAACCCUAACGCUACUCCAACCACUAACCCUAACCCUACCCCAACCCCUACCCCUACCUCAACUAUUAACCCUACCCCAACCCUUAACCCAACCCCAACCACUAACCUUACCCUAACCCUACCUCAACCCU